RNAcentral lists this unclassified non-coding RNA (395 nucleotides) under soil metagenome. RNAcentral's name for it is "partial contains 5.8S ribosomal RNA, internal transcribed spacer 2, and large subunit ribosomal RNA". The stretch from base 1 to 122 matches the Rfam family "5.8S ribosomal RNA", at positions 35 to 154 of the family's 154-position model. The record is from RNAcentral.
GAUGAAGAACGUAGCGAAAUGCGAUACUUGGUGUGAAUUGCAGAAUCCCGUGAACCAUCGAGUCUUUGAACGCAAGUUGCGCCCGAAGCCAUCAGGUUGAGGGCACGUCUGCCUGGGCGUCACAUAUCGUUGCCCAAUGCCUAUUGCAGUGCAAUAGGAAUUUCUAGGGCGAAUGAUGGCUUCCCGUGAGCGUUGUUGCCUCGCGGUUGGUUGAAAAUCGAGUCCUUGGUAGGGUGUGCCAUGGUAGAUGGUGGUCGAGUUAGAACGAUACCGAUCAUGUGCAUGCUCCCCAAAAUAUGGCCUCUAUGACCCACACGCGUCUUUUGACGCUCAUGACGAGACCUCUGGUCAGGCGGGGCUACCCGCUGAAUUUAAGCAUAUCAAUAAGCGGAGGA